This 660-nucleotide long non-coding RNA is filed under the name Equus asinus (donkey). Its description in RNAcentral is "lncRNA (ENSEASG00005025155.1)". Lineage: Eukaryota; Metazoa; Chordata; Mammalia; Perissodactyla; Equidae. The record is from RNAcentral.
CCCAGGCACUGGAGCCAGCACUAGGCAGGUGGAAGCAAGACCCAGAGCCACUUGGAUGAAUGAGAGACCAGAUGAAGGAAGAACCCUGCAAUAACAUUUAUAUUUUACUAUAUAUCUUCCUUCUAACAUUUGCCAAAGACACCUGUGACUGUGGGGAAUGGGGAAAGAAAAUCACCCAGACUUUCCUGUAAUUACUGGCUGUGAGAUUGCCAUCAGCAGUGCUCAGCCACUCUGGUGUAAGAAUAGAGAAGACCGCUUCAGCAUCGAGGACCAAAGUUGUGCGGGACACCUUUAGGCACCAUCUCAGAAUCCUCUCAGCCCUACUCUUGCUCCAGCCACCGCUGGAGGACCAUUCCACGCAGGCUUCAACUGGCUCUGCACCAGGAUCAUCAGGCAGUGCUUCCACUUAGGUGGAAAUGAUACUCCUCACCUCCUAAAAGGUUAAUUGGACCCUUACCACAUGACCCAGCAAUUCUACUCGUAGGUAACCUACCCAAGAGGAAUGAAAACAUACAUCUGUUCAAAGACUUGCACAUAAAUAUUCAUAGCAAGACUAUUAUAAAGGCCAAAAUGGGAAGCAAUUAAAUGUUCAUCAGCUGAUGAACGGAUAAGCAGUUGUGGUCCAUCCAUGGACUACUUCUCAGCAAUACAGAAGAGCAA